This 497-nucleotide ribosomal RNA is filed under the name uncultured bacterium. RNAcentral's name for it is "partial 16S ribosomal RNA". It matches the Rfam family "Bacterial small subunit ribosomal RNA", at positions 28 to 507 of the family's 1533-position model. The record is from RNAcentral.
GAUGAACGCUGGCGGCGUGCCUAAUACAUGCAAGUCGAGCGAACAGACGAGGAGCUUGUUCCUCUGACGUUAGCGGCGGACGGGUGAGUAACACGUGGAUAACCUACCUAUAAUACUGGGAUAACAUCGGGAAACCGGAGCUAAUACCGGAUAAUAUAUUGAACCGCAUGGUUCAAUAGUGAAAGACGGUUUUGCUGUCACUUAUAGAUGGAUCCGCGCCGCAUUAGCUAGUUGGUAAGGUAACGGCUUACCAAGGCAACGAUGCGUAGCCGACCUGAGAGGGUGAUCGGCCACACUGGAACUGAGACACGGUCCAGACUCCUACGGGAGGCAGCAGUAGGGAAUCUUCCGCAAUGGGCGAAAGCCUGACGGAGCAACGCCGCGUGAGUGAUGAAGGUCUUCGGAUCGUAAAACUCUGUUAUUAGGGAAGAAAAAAUGUGUAAGUAACUAUGCACGUCUUGACGGUACCUAAUCAGAAAGCCACGGCUAACUACGUG